AUUGAACGCUGGCGGCAUGCUUUACACAUGCAAGUCGAACGGCAGCGCGGGCUUCGGCCUGGCGGCGAGUGGCGAACGGGUGAGUAAUACAUCGGAACGUGCCCAGUAGUGGGGGAUAGCUCGGCGAAAGCCGGAUUAAUACCGCAUACGACCUGAGGGUGAAAGCGGGGGAUCUUCGGACCUCGCGCUAUUGGAGCGGCCGAUGGCAGAUUAGCUAGUUGGUGGGGUAAAGGCCUACCAAGGCGACGAUCUGUAGCUGGUCUGAGAGGACGACCAGCCACACUGGGACUGAGACACGGCCCAGACUCCUACGGGAGGCAGCAGUGGGGAAUUUUGGACAAUGGGCGAAAGCCUGAUCCAGCAAUGCCGCGUGUGUGAUGAAGGCCUUCGGGUUGUAAAGCACUUUUGGCGGGAACGAAAAGGACUGCGCCAAUACCACGGUUCGAUGACGGUACCCGCAGAAUAAGCACCGGCUAACUACG
RNAcentral lists this ribosomal RNA (482 nucleotides) under uncultured bacterium. RNAcentral describes it as "partial 16S ribosomal RNA". It matches the Rfam family "Bacterial small subunit ribosomal RNA", at positions 29 to 505 of the family's 1533-position model. The record is from RNAcentral.